UACAAAGGCCCAAAUUUCCUCCACAAACUGAUCCGAUUUGAGCGAUUGGACAGAAACGCAAAGAACGGCAGCAGCAGCAAACGCCAACUAAGCUGAUGAAAUUGGGCGGCUCCUCUAAAUGUGGGCUGGCCAGUAGUUAAUCGCAAUUUUGUUUGAUUGACAGCAUAGUUUAGCGCUGUAACCAAUCGGAGUUAAGCGCGGGGGGAAAGGUGGCCCUUCACAUAUAGUUUGUCGGACUGGAACGCUGCAGCGGCUGGGGCCACGGGGUUUCCUCCAAUUAGAGCAAGGGAUGAAGACGUCAUCUCAUUGCCAUGGUAAUCUUCAUCCAAUCAGUGCCUAGUUUAACACGAUGGCGGUGGGUGUGGCUCGUACUCCGUUGUAAGUCGCGUAAACUAGUUCCUACUGUGUAGCUAUGUCUGCUGUGUGUAUGGCAUCAAAAUGACCUCUGCGCAUUCAAGGAGGGUUCACUUUCCACUCCGGAAUGUCCCUAACCCCCCAAACACCUGAAAUUCUACCUGGAUCUGUUUGCUUUCAGGAGAUCAGUCAUGGACCUAUGUGUUCGAACCAGAAACCUGCCACUGUAACCACUAUUCUUUUGCUUUGAAGGAAUAAUCUUAAAUAAUAAAAUGAUGAAAAUGUUCA
RNAcentral lists this long non-coding RNA (642 nucleotides) under Betta splendens (Siamese fighting fish). RNAcentral's name for it is "lncRNA (ENSBSLG00000026031.1)". The record is from RNAcentral. Lineage: Eukaryota; Metazoa; Chordata; Actinopteri; Anabantiformes; Osphronemidae.